CGCUGGCGGCGUGCCUAAUACAUGCAAGUCGAACGGUCUUUCUAUGGAAGCUUGCUUCCACUGAGAAGAUAGUGGCGAACGGGUGAGUAACACGUGGGUAACCUGCCCAUAAGAGGGGGGAUAACAUCCGGAAACGGGUGCUAAUACCGCAUAGUUUUCUUGAUCGCAUGAUCGGGAAAGGAAAGACGGCCUUUGUGCUGUCGCUUAUGGAUGGACCCGCGGCGUAUUAGUUAGUUGGUGAGGUAACGGCUCACCAAGACGAUGAUACGUAGCCGACCUGAGAGGGUGAUCGGCCACAUUGGGACUGAGACACGGCCCAAACUCCUACGGGAGGCAGCAGUAGGGAAUCUUCCGCAAUGGACGAAAGUCUGACGGAGCAACGCCGCGUGAGUGAAAGAAGGUUUUCGGAUCGUAAAACUCUGUUGUCAGAGAAGAACAAGUUGGAGAGUAACUGCUCCAGCCUUGACGGUAUCUGACCAGAAAGCCACGGCUAACUACGUGCCAGCCGCCGC
Molecule: ribosomal RNA, 512 nt
Filed under: uncultured bacterium
Lineage: Bacteria
Description: bacterial SSU rRNA
Rfam family: Bacterial small subunit ribosomal RNA
Source: RNAcentral